UUAAAGGGCUGCAGUAUAUUGACUGUACAAAGGUAGCAUAAUCAUUAGUCAUUUAAUUGAUGACUUGUAUGAAGGAUUGGAUGAAAUAUAAACUGUCUCUUAAUUAUAUUUAGAAUUUAAUUUUUUAAUUAAAAAGUUAAAAUAAAUUAGAAAGACGAGAAGACCCUGUAGAGUUUUAUAAAUAAAAUUAAUUGAGAUUAUAUGUAAAAGUUAAAAUUAAGAUUAAUUUAUUUAUUUUGUUGGGGUGACAGAAAAAUAUAAAAAACUUUUUAUAUAUUUAAAACGUUGAUAAGUGGUUAAAUGAUCCAAUAUUAUUGAUUAUAAGAAAAAAUUACCUUAGGGAUAACAGCGUAAUUUUUUUUUUUAGUUCAUAUAAAAAAAAAAGUUUGCGACCUCGAUGUUGGAUUAAGAUAAAAUUUAAAUGCAGAAG
RNAcentral lists this ribosomal RNA (430 nucleotides) under Sesamia typhae. RNAcentral describes it as "partial 16S ribosomal RNA". The record is from RNAcentral. Lineage: Eukaryota; Metazoa; Arthropoda; Insecta; Lepidoptera; Noctuidae.